This 421-nucleotide ribosomal RNA is filed under the name Sarmatium striaticarpus. Its description in RNAcentral is "partial 12S ribosomal RNA". Lineage: Eukaryota; Metazoa; Arthropoda; Malacostraca; Decapoda; Sesarmidae. The record is from RNAcentral.
UUUAGAAAAUAUAAAAUACUAGAUUAGUGUUAGUUAUAUGCUUAAAAAUUAAAAAAUUUGGCGGUGAUUUAAUCUUUUCAGAGGAAUUUGUUUUUUAAUCGAUAAUCCACGAAAAAUCUUACUUAUUUUAGUGUUAAAUAGAUUUUAAAAUUUAAACAGUUUGUAUACCAUCAUUAUUAGAUAAUUUUGAAAAAAAAAAUUAUUAGAUAUAAAUUAUUAUUGAAAUUAGAUCAUGGUGCAGCUAAUAAAUAAGUUAAAAUGAAUUACAAUAAAUUAUUUUAUAAUGGAUUAAUAAAAUAAUUUUUAUUUUGAAAGAGGAUUUGAUAGUAUUAUAAUUUUAAUAGGUUUAUUAGAAAAUAGCUCUAAAUCAUGUACAUAUCGCCCGUCGCUUUCAUUUAUAAAUGAAAUAAGUCGUAACAUA